Molecule: unclassified non-coding RNA, 5327 nt
Filed under: Monomorium pharaonis (pharaoh ant)
Lineage: Eukaryota; Metazoa; Arthropoda; Insecta; Hymenoptera; Formicidae
Description: dnaJ homolog subfamily C member 16, transcript variant X1
Source: RNAcentral
GUGCCCGGGGAGUGUUGACGCGAGGAGAGGCUUUACUGCCGCUGACGGCGACAACAACGACGACGAGGUGGUCGAAGAUCCGCGCGAGAAGUAUGUCCGCUAAUCCUGAGCACGGCGAGAGCACGAGUGGCUGCCGAGAGUGAAAGGGGUGACGGUAACGUCACGCGCACCCGUGACAAUCGGCGAGGUGGUAGCUCGCACAGUACCACACACGAAAAGAGACCCCCGUGGGGUCGUGGACGAUGCUGCCGAUUGAUCUUUCGAUGUCGGACGAGCGGCGGACUCGCGGCGACGUUGCCCGAGUCGCCGGCGUCGGCUGGUUGAUGAGGUACGUGCUCCUGCUGCUGGGUCUCUUCGCGGUUGUCCAGUUGACGCCGUCGGCGCUCGCCGGCGAUACCCUGGGUAAUCCGUACAAAAUACUAGGCGUGUCGAAGCGUGCAACGAUCCAGGAAAUCCGGAAGGCGUACAAGAACCUCGCCAAGGAAUGGCAUCCAGAUAAAACUGAUCAUCCGAUGGCUGAAGAGAAAUUUGUCGAGAUAACAAAAGCUUAUGAGCUUUUAACAGAUCCAGAAAGAAGGAGAAACUUUGAUAACCAUGGAAUUACGGAAGAGAGUCUCCGGCAAAGGAGAGACAAUAGUCACUUCAAUGUCCUCGAUCCAUUGGAAGAAUUGUUCACUGGUAACUUUAAAUUCCACUAUCAAAGCAGUGACAACACUCUGUUCCAUAAAAUGAGCAUCACGUAUCGAUCAUUCGAGAAUGUAAUAGUACCGAAAACUUACCGUAUACCAUAUUUAAUCUUAUUCUACUCCGACUGGUGCUACAUGUGUCUCCAAGUGGAACCUACUUGGAGACGAUUGAUCGACGAAUUGGAACCUCUGGGACUUGGUUUGGCUACAGCGCAUGCUAAAAAGGAGUCUACCCUGGCGAGAAGACUUGGCGUCCACUCUAUUCCAUGUCUCGUUGUCAUUGUGGACGGGCGCACUAGCAUCUACAAGGAAUCUCUAUUUAGUAUUCAGAAAGUUGUUGAAUUUGUACGAAGUAGACUACCAUAUAGAUUAAUAAGUACUAUUAGUGAUACCAAUGUAGAUAAUUUCCUAUCGGGUUGGACGGAUAAUCGAAUACGUGCUUUGAUAUUUGAAAAGAGAGACUUCAUUCGUUUGCGAUAUUUGCUUACGUCUUUUUACUACAGAGAUCGAGUAGCUUUCGGCUUCGUCCAGAUUGGCUUACCAGAGACCGAGAACAUAACAACAAAAUACAAAAUCUCAGGAGAAUUGGAUACUUUACUGCUCUUCAACGAAAAUUCGGAAAAACCUAUGGCGUCUAUUAGUAUGAAAGACAUUUCCAGCGAAACCAUGCAUAAUGUUAUUGCUAAUAAUAAGUUUCUCGUAUUACCUAGACUUUCGAAUCAAGCUAUGUUGGAUUCUAUAUGUCCGCCUGAAUGGCUGAGACCACAAAAGCGGUUGUGCGCCGUUUUAAUUUCGCAGCAAAAUAGUCCCAUGCACGACAUGGCUAGACACAAGUUUAGACAGGCAGCAUUAGAGUCUUCUUAUAGCACGGAACGUGUCAGGUAUGCAUAUGUAUUCAAAGAUACACAACCUGAAUUUGUAUCAGCAUUAUUAGCUGGUGAAGGCAGCCCAAUGGAACCUCUAUUACAUAUUGUCAUCAUAUGGAGACGAGAUGCCAAUCACCUGAAGUACGAGUGGCUUCCUCAUGGAUGGGUCGAGGCCGUUCAAGACGAUCGUAUAUGGAACGAGACACGAAGACACUUAGAGAAAACUAUACAAAGGCUGUUACGCGCCACUGAAGCUUUACCAUACGCUGCUGUCGUAGGAGAAUUAGCGGAUGAACAUGCACAGGGUACUGUAGACAGAUUAAUAGGAAGGGCAUUAUUAGCAGUAGAUUAUAUUUCCGAUAAUCUGACGAAAGAGCAAAUUUUGCCUUUGAUAUCAGUACUAGUAACUCUCAUGUUAAUAGGAGUUGCAGGGUAUGGAAUGUCGUACCUAGUUAAGCUAGAAGAAGCAAGUGUCCAGGCUGAGCGUGACCAAUGCAAGGAUAGCAAUGCGAAAUCACAGCCGUCGCAGCCGCAACUACGAUUGCAUGAAUUACGCGCGGAGAAAUACAACGGAUUAGUUCGGCUUUUGAAACCAGGAUGUCGAACCAUUAUUCUACUGAUUGACGCUCAAAGCCGGUUAAAGUUAUUACCAGCUUUUCAUAGAGCCGUGUGGCCUUAUAGAAAGAAUAAAACGCUUAUGUUCGCACAUAUGUCAUUAGAAAGAGGUCUUGAUUGGUAUAAGAAAUUAUUAUUUCUCACUUUAAUGGAGCAGAAGGAUUUAAAUAUAAAUGCAAAAAAUUGCGUCGGGACGGUUCUGUCCUUAAAUGGACAUCGAAAGUAUUUCUGCAUGUACCAUGCCAAACAUCCGGAAUGUAAGGGUAAAGGUUCUAAGCGCAUUAAAAAGAUGACCAAGCGACUUGUCCAAAAACCGGAGGAUCCAGAAGCAGGCGCUUUUAUCGGUUUUGACAGUUCCAAUGAAUCUGAUGUGUCUCAAGACGAGGGUGGAAGUAACAUUUUAUAUCAAGACAACCUUUUAGAUGGAUUACCUAUGUGGCUCGAUAGAUUGUUCGAAGGAUCAACGCAUCGUUAUUAUGUAAAUUAUUGGCCCGAGUUCACUGCCAAGUAAAAGGAAGAGGAGAAAUUUUUUUUCUAGACGUGUAGAGGAGACUGUGGCACCUAGGGACAUAUAUAUUGGAAUAUACUGUUUAUUUUCCUAACACUAGUGAAAGUCUCAAGUUUCUACUUUAUAUUGUCUCAGUUGUUACUUGUUUACGAUCUGUUAGGUACACGUCCUGCCGAGACAUUUAAGUCUAGAUUUAUCUAGAAAUAACCGUUAACAAGGUGAUGUCAUCAUAAUGCAAUCCGAAAACAUAAACAUAAACGAUACAAAUGUGCAUAGAUAAUAUAAAUGAGAUGGCAAUUUCAGAUAUUUUACAUUAUGAAUAUUCUAUGGAAACAGCUGCCUUCAUCUAUGGACUUGAAGUAGAUUAUUUAAUAAUGUUUUUUCAUACAAUUAUUUUGGGCAAAGUAAUUAAAGACUCAAUUGAAGGAGGUCUUUCUCGAUGAGAUGUCAUUUCUAUUAUAUUUAAAAAUGUGUCAUCAAGAUCAUUGUGUUUGCUUGGUGUGCUUUGAAGAAUAUUUACCACUUUUACUUUAUACUUUUAUCAAAUGUAACAAUAUAACGUAUUCACAACAUUGGGAUAUACAUCGGAAGACGGAUAAAUCUACAAAAAAUCAAUUUCUGAAGAAAAACAAUAACGAAAUUUCUAAAUUAUUUGCGACAGAUUGCUUAAAAAUAUCUCUUAUUAAAAAUUUAUUUAAAAGAUCAUUAUAUCUUGAUGAAGAUAUUCACGAAGGUCCACGAAUACAUUUGUACCCAAGAAAGUUUAGGCAUUCACAAUGUUUACUUGAUUUUAGCAAAUGUAUAUUUGAAAUUAAGGAAAAGAAGAAAUUGAAAAAGAUAAAAAAAUAUAUUUAAAAAAUUAAGUAUCACAGUCUCCUCUAUACUUUAGUGAUAAAGGAAAGUGAUAAAGAACAAGGUUUGCCUAGUCAACGGAAUAUUAUUGCCAUCGGGAUAUACUGUGAUUCGAAUGGACACAGAUGCAACUCUGUAUAAAGACAAAACAUAUUCAUUACUUAUGCUAAGUACCGUUUAUAAACAUAUUUACAGUUUCCUGCAUUUUAACAUUUUUAGAUUGGUCUUUAAGUAUUGUUAAAGAGAAAGUAUGUUAUAAAAAGUUAUAUAGCAGGUAAGGAGGGAGAAUAAAAUUAUUGCUGAUGUGGGACUCGAUUCUCUAAUAUAAAUCAAGUUUUCUAUAUACUACUACUACUAUAACUACUUUAUUCGUUUCUAUGUAUAACUCGGAAUACUCUUUCUAGAAAUUCUAGAAUAUUUCCGAAUUACAUAGAGUCCUCGAAAUUGCUUGUAUCUAGUCAACACGUUACCAAAAUUUAACAGUAUUGCACAAUGUACAAGCAAAUAGAUCAUUUAUAUUUCCUCAGAUAUAUGAUUACGAGAUCGCGAUCGAUUGCGAUUAUCGUUGCAUUGUGAAUAUGUUAAUUCCUUAUAACAUUGUAAUGAUCUAUACGAGCUAUUUUUAGUGCCGUAAAAAAAUGUAAAUCCGUAUAUGUUCAUGUACGUAAUAUCUGUCGCUUGUUCGCCCUACGUUUAUUAGUAUCGCCAUUAUACAAACAUAUUUCUCGAAUCCGAAUAUCAGUAUAUCUAUUUACAGAAUUAUUACAUAUCUAUUUACAGAAUUUAUACUUUAUCAAUACAGUUACCGUAAAAUUGAUAUUUGUAGGAGCGAACCCAAAUGCUAAAAAAUAAGAGUGUUGUUAAAAAUAUAAUCCGCGCGCUCUUAUCCAGACUUAUAUACAUCUAUUAUUUUAUUUUUAAUUGUUCUACGUUUGUACUCAUCCCUUAAAAAUUGUACAUAUUUUAAAUAACGUGUAUUACUAAAAAUGUAUAUUAUUUAUUUAAAUAAUGUACAUAUACAUAUGUGCAUAUAUUGUUUAAGUACAUUUAUUUGGUUAAAGUAUUCAGUAUCGGUAUUAGAAACAGAUAUUUACUUUUCUCAAAUAUGUAAUCCUUUUUUAUGAAGCGACAAAUCUAGGUACCUUGUAUCUUUUAUAUAUUUCCUUAUUAUACAAGAAACUAUUAGAAUGUACUAAACAUGUAUUAUAGACAUGCGAUAAUCAUAUUGUUGAAAUUGCAAAUUAUGUGAGCUCAAUUGUUUAUACUUUACAUCCUUAUAUGAAGAUUAAAAUUGGCAAACAGAUAUAAACAUGGAGUAAUAUUUCUACCCUAAUAACAUUCUUGAUAAUUCUGAGUUAUAAUUACUAUCAUAUGAAUAUUGUUACAUUUAAGUAGAGUUUAAUAAUGUUCAUAAAUAUAGAAAUAUAUAUUUGCGAGUAUCACUUUUGCGGUAACUAUGAAAUGUUUUAAGUUGCUGCUUGUUUUUUGUAAGUAUUAUGUGAUAUAACAGACUUUCGAACUAGUUUUGCGAGAUAUGCACUAUAAUAUACACAUUUGUUAUGUCCCUCGCAAAAACAUUUCGAUUGUAAGAAAACGAUAUAUCUAGAAAUGUUUGUUAACAAAGCGUGUAAUUUAUUGUACGUUAUUCGUAUUAGAGUAUGUAUAUAUAUAUACGUACGUACUUAAUUCUUAUAUGUUGGCUAUAUACUUGUGUGUAAUCGCUAUUUAUACUUUUGGACUUAUAUAAUUUCAGUUUGGGAUAUAGGAUCCGCUAAAAGAAAUAAAAUGGAUUGCGCAUUA